UGCAGCAUGGCCUGCAUAACAUUUUUCCAUGUUAAACAUACGCCUUAAAUGCUGACAGGAUUUAAAAAGUAGCGAUCCCUUAACUCUAUCAUCCCAUAAGCAGAAAUCAAAUUACAUAGCACUUAUGUUAGUCUAAAAAGAAUAAACUGCAUAUAACAUCGGGAACUGAUAAAGGCUGAAAUCUAAAAUAAAGCCCAUAAGUAACCAUCUCAACAUAUGAUUGAUGAUGAUGAUUUAUCUGUGAUUCAUAACUCAGUCACACAAUACAUUUUGGCAGGCCUCUACAGCUGAUGACGUCCAGCUAGCAGGCCGUGGCUAAAAAAUCGAUCCCAAUUCCUUACUAAAAAAACAUAAUUACAUUUGUAAUUACAAUUUGAGCAUACUAAAAUUAAAAUCAUUUUACAUAUAAAGGGGUCCCUCGAUACCAUUUACACACGUAUUGGCAUUACAUUCGUUGAUACAAUAUUUUACCUCGGGGAGUGUGGGAGCAAACCGUGGCUAAAAAAUCUAUCCCAAUUCCUGACUAUAAAAACGUAAUUACAUUUGGGAUAUACAUUUUUACAUAUAAAG
Molecule: non-coding RNA, 570 nt
Organism: Xyrichtys novacula (pearly razorfish)
Lineage: Eukaryota; Metazoa; Chordata; Actinopteri; Labriformes; Labridae
Source: the annotation of a GenBank genome assembly